RNAcentral lists this small nuclear RNA (166 nucleotides) under Microcebus murinus (gray mouse lemur). RNAcentral describes it as "U1 spliceosomal RNA (ENSMICG00000018645.3)". It matches the Rfam family "U1 spliceosomal RNA". From Rfam's summary of the family: U1 is a small nuclear RNA (snRNA) component of the spliceosome (involved in pre-mRNA splicing). Its 5' end forms complementary base pairs with the 5' splice junction, thus defining the 5' donor site of an intron. The record is from Rfam by way of RNAcentral. Lineage: Eukaryota; Metazoa; Chordata; Mammalia; Primates; Cheirogaleidae.
AUACUUACCUGGCAGGGGAGAUACCAUGAUCAUGAAGGUGGUUUUCCCAGGACAAGGCUCAUCCAUUGCACUCCAGAUGUGCUGACCCCUGCAAUUUCCCCAAAUGUGGGAAACUCGACUGCAUAAUUUGUGGUAGUGGGGGACUGUGUUCGCGCACUAUCCCCUG